AGAAAAUAGAUUGUAAAAAUGAUAGCAAGUAAAUAACAAAGUAUCCUUAUCUAAAAAAAUCAAAUAAUUAACCUUGUCUUGGUCUUGUUUCAGAGGGUGGUGGCAUAAGAGGAGUUUGACCAGUACCUAGGGUCAUAUCCCUAAGUCCUAAUGGAGUGGAUACUGAAGUAGCUAAAAUGCUUAUGGGAGAGACAGAAGUUAAGUGGCUUCCACGGGGUGUACCUGUAUCAAUUCCAGAAAAUUGUGCAGACCUAACCGUUGGUGGAUCCUCAGACAUAACAGUUGGUAUAACAGGAGUUGAUGAAAGGUUAGUAAUAUCUUGCAAAACAGUAUUGAAUGCAGAACGUAGAGGGACAGAACCAUUAGAGACAGGUGUAUUAGAACGUGGAAUACUUCUGCUAGUAUUGAUUGCCUCAUUCCUCCGCCAUCUUUUAGGUGGGGUGGAAUAGAACUCUAUGUUUUCAUUGUUAGGUGCUGUUUUUUUACUCAUUAUUCCUGUUUGGAACAAUUGCUAGAACUCUCUAAGCAAAAAUAAAUCUGGUGUUAGGAUUUAAA
Molecule: long non-coding RNA, 555 nt
Organism: Arabidopsis lyrata subsp. lyrata
Lineage: Eukaryota; Viridiplantae; Streptophyta; Magnoliopsida; Brassicales; Brassicaceae
Exons: 2
Source: RefSeq, a predicted model, not a curated record